GGGCGUUGGAAGUUUGAGGGGGGCUGCUCCUAGUACGAGAGGACCGGAGUGGACGCACCUCUGGUGUACCGGUUAUGACGCCAGUCGUAUUGCCGGGUAGCUAUGUGCGGAAGAGAUAACCGCUGAAAGCAUCUAAGCGGGAAACUCGCCUCAAGAUGAGACUUCCCGGGGGCUUACCCCCCUAAAGGUUCGUCGAAGACUACGACGUUGAUAGGUCGGGUGUGGAAGCGCAGCAAUGUGUUAAGCUAACCGAUACUAAUUGACCGUGUGGCUUGAUUCU
This 280-nucleotide ribosomal RNA is filed under the name Nitrosospira sp. RNAcentral's name for it is "partial 23S ribosomal RNA". It matches the Rfam family "Bacterial large subunit ribosomal RNA", at positions 2649 to 2925 of the family's 2925-position model. Lineage: Bacteria; Pseudomonadati; Pseudomonadota; Betaproteobacteria; Nitrosomonadales; Nitrosomonadaceae. The record is from RNAcentral.